This 253-nucleotide ribosomal RNA is filed under the name uncultured bacterium. RNAcentral's name for it is "partial 16S ribosomal RNA". It matches the Rfam family "Bacterial small subunit ribosomal RNA", at positions 524 to 776 of the family's 1533-position model. The record is from RNAcentral.
UACGAAGGGGGCUAGCGUUGUUCGGAAUUACUGGGCGUAAAGCGCGCGUAGGCGGACUGGUCAGUCAGGGGUGAAAUCCCGAGGCUUAACCUCGGAACUGCCUUUGAUACUGCCAGUCUCGAGUCCGGAAGAGGUGAGUGGAAUUCCUAGUGUAGAGGUGAAAUUCGUAGAUAUUAGGAAGAACACCGGUGGCGAAGGCGGCUCACUGGUCCGGUACUGACGCUGAGGCGCGAAAGCGUGGGGAGCAAACAGG